Molecule: long non-coding RNA, 2295 nt
Organism: Manis pentadactyla (Chinese pangolin)
Lineage: Eukaryota; Metazoa; Chordata; Mammalia; Pholidota; Manidae
Exons: 3
Source: RefSeq, a predicted model, not a curated record
GAGGACUAGGAACUUCCUCUUAGAGUUUUCUUAUUGGUUUGGGAAGUUGGGAGCAUAACAGAUGUAUUGACCGAGAUACCCUUCUUCUCUGUCCUUCCUCUUCAUAUGCCUUUUGUGUGCUUUCUUGUCUUCUCAAAGGCUAAGGUGAGUGAGGGCCAUCGGUCUUGGUGGCCUUGUUGAAUCCAAGAGAGGCAGAUAUGGAAUGAAUGAGUGGGGUGGGGUGUUUGUUGUUUAGGCAGUAUUUAGGAAUACCAGAUUCCUGACCAUUAUGGCCAGAGGCAUCCUUUUGAGUCUCUGGAGCCCUCUUGCCCAUGAACUGGGGCUCUAGGACAUCCUAGAGCCUAUAUAACUAAGUAUAGACUUAGUUAUAGAUGUGGGCCACUUUGUUUCUGUGCCUUAUAGAUGCCUGAUUACUCAUCCCCAUCUUAGUGUAGCUCAGAUGUCACCCAUUUUCCUGGAUUGGCUCCCUCUCCUCAAAAAGGUAACAUUUAUAAUAUUCCUUAAUUUCCAUGUCAAAAUAUUUAGAAAGCAGGAUUAAUAAGAAAUGUUUAGUCUUUCUGUUCUGACCCUUGAAUAUAUACUAAGUAUAUUUCAUGUAUACUAUACUCUUAGAGGGCUGGCAUAUUUGAAGGAAUGGACUUACCAGAAUACAACUGGUACUUGGUUUCUCGAUUGGAGGCACUAUGGUAAAGUGGGAAGCACAUGAAGUUUGGAUAAAACAGGCCUGGGUUUGGAUCUUAGCUCUGCUAUUAUCUAGCUUUGUGAGCCUGAGACGCUAAGUUAACCUCUCUAACCCAGUUUCCUUUUUCUCUAAAGUAUAUUUCUCAAAAUUGUUGUAAAUAUUAAAUAAGCCUGUUUGCCUUGCACAUAGUAGACAUUCAGUAAAUGUUUCCUUAUCUGUAUGAAAGUUGUCUGCAAAGUCCUCAGAGGCCCCUUCAGACUCAACCAAAUCUUUGAAUGCAAAAUUCUCCUAAUUUCCACUGGAAAACUUUUUUUCAUUCUACUGAGGUUUUACUCUGAACUAAUAAUGUGACCUAUGUGAUCUUCGUUGGAUUAUUGCUGUCUGUAUCUCAUUUAUGCACUCUCCCUAUAUAUCUUUUACUUUCUCUUUCACCCCAAACCUACGUUACUGAGGGGUCUAAUAGGCCCACUGCUUCCACAGGGCCCUUUCUGGUAAGUUAAAGCCUGGGUUUUAGCCACCAUUUAACAGGAGAGACGAGCCACUCCAUGGUGCGUGGUUUGCUCUAGUCUAUGACAGUGUAAACCUAGUCGUUGGGUGAGUCAAAGCCUUAAACCUAAAAGCCAUCUCCCUUUUCUUCCCUUCCCUUCCCACACUACCUGAAAGAGCUGAGGAAAAUCUGGAAACUGUUAAUCCUGCUUGAGCAGUAGCUAUUGCUUAGUGCAGUUAGAGGAUCUCCUGGGAAGGGUGCAGUGUAGAUUGCUGCUGCAUCAUUCUAGCUUACCCUCUCACUGUUGCCUUCACUCUUAUAUAUACAUUUUAAAAUAGUAAACCCAAUUCAUUACCUCUUAACCUGAGGAAGAUGCACAUGAGUGAUUGUCCUUACUCAUUACUACUCUUCUAACCCAAAUAUUUAAUCAAAGAGUGUUUGCAGAAGUUUGACCAGGCAUUAUACAACUCUAGUUGUAUAGAAACACAAGAGUAAUACUUUACCAACAGCUCUAAAUGGUGGUAGUCAAUAAUGCAUUUUUCACUCAACUGUUUCCACCUAGCUUGUCAUUGUGUCAUUCAUUUGACUUAACCCCUUACCUAAAACUGCUCACUUUGCAGUUCCCCACAAAGCCUUUCAUUCCUGAUUUUCUCUUAUGUUCCAGAGCUAGUUUAUCUGCUCUGUAAUGAUUUGAAUUGUCUUGCCUCUCUUUCUCCAAAACCCUCUUCUCAAUGAGCCUCACUUGUUUGCUUUUUAAAUGAAAGAAAGUAUCAUGUAUGUGAAUUUUUGGUUGAUCAAAAUUAUGUGUUCGUUGGGAAAUAUAAAGAAUAAAUAAAUUACCUAAAGUCAAGUCUGCCACUCAGAACCAACCACUGUGAACAUUUUGGUGUGUGUCCUUCAAGUCCGUGAUGUGAGUGUGUCCUCCUGAUUUGUAUGAUAACAGCACAUCCCUCAGUAUGUCUCGAGAUGCCUCUGUAUUUCAAGAUGAGAGCAGUAUGCCUGUCCUGGAUAUUCCUACUGCCACACCAGAAAAGCAGAUGCACCAGGGCCGAGGUAGUCUGGGUGAGGAAGUCUCUGAUGUGGAUAUUGAAGGGUAUGAGUAGGAGGACGAUGGGAAACCUAAGAC